RNAcentral lists this long non-coding RNA (204 nucleotides) under Mytilus galloprovincialis (Mediterranean mussel). The record is from RNAcentral. Lineage: Eukaryota; Metazoa; Mollusca; Bivalvia; Mytilida; Mytilidae.
CAUCUGCGCGUUUACAAAUACACUGUUUCUCCAGGUAGUCGUGUUAGUGUUCGUAAAUUGGUCCGUCGACUUCAUAGAGGCAACCGAAGAGCAAGUCGUGGUGUAUAGAGACCUGUACUUACAGGCAGACACUCUACCGUCAGGUUUCAAUGGGAUAAUGACUAUCUAUGCUUGAACAUAAGGAGCGGACAAAACACUCAUUGG